CCUCAUGUGGCCUGCACUUGCACCCGCUUCCCUCUCCACAGGAUGUAAAGGCCCGUUUAAAUGAAUUAAUUCAUGACAUGUGGCAAACAUCAGCGCUGACAAGAGGAACGUACACAGUUGCAUUCUCUCAACAAAAAAGCUUGCCACUCUGGAUUCAAACAAAACUUGCUAAAAAUUUUUGUUCACAAUAACAGCCGACCGGUAAAAUCAAAAACAAUCCUGGCAAUGUUCCAUGGAAAGGCCAAGAAGAAAUGACAACAGCGAAAAGUCUGUGAAGAUGGACUCCCCCUCACAGAUGGGGCUUUAAUUAACACAUGGGCUCUCUCAUCACAACACCAUGGCCAGGUGUCGCCCAGGAAACCGUCUCAGGACCAGGCGCCUGGGACCUGUGCUCAGGGAGAGGAGGAGCAGCCAAUAAUACGCAGACUACACACUUAGUCUUCAACAUAACACAGUCUUCACAAUUAAUAGACCUGAUUAGAAUAAAGCUAAGAAACUAAAAUUAAAAAAAAAAUUACAAAAUAUGAUAACCAAAAUUUUCUUUUAUCAUUUUUCCCCCCUCUCAUUAUUUUUAUUAUUUUAAAUAAUUACUUUUAAAUUUCCACUGAACACUUGUAUUAAUUUCACUUGUAUUUCUAUGUUACAGAUUGUUUUUUUACAUUUCAAUUUUUAUGCAUUUAACCAAAGCGACUUACAUUGUAUUAAAGGUGCAUGUGUUUCUUUUUUCUUUUCAACUCAGAUUUCAGCUCUUGCUUUUGCUGGGAACUGAUCCUAUGGCCUUGACAUUGAUAGUGCUAUGCUCUACUCUUUGAGCAUCUGGCCCCAAACAAGUACAUCAAAUCCCACCCAACAGCUCGCCGGAGCGUGCCAACUGACACUCUCCAUUACGUGUCAUGCCCGCAAAGAGCCAUGGCCCACAGAGUGGCAGGACGGAGCACUUCCCAUUAGAACCCUAAAGAGGAGGACAUCAAACAAUCUGGGGAGCAAACACAACCUCGGGAGAGCCACACAUCAUCAUAUUUUAAUAGAACAUGUGGCUUCUUUGCUGUUGUCUUGUGUCCAAAUUGCAAUAGUGAAUUCUGUCCAGCUGUCGAUCUACAAAUGAGGCUCAAUUACCCAGGCACUAGCUGUAGCGUAUGUGCAAGAGCGCAGUCUCUCUCUCCACGCUCUGCCAGACUCCUGGCUCUAAAUGUUGAACAAAGUGAGACAGAGUAGUUUGAGUCGCCUUUGGUCAAGCUUCCAUGUGGGUGACAGGUGACAUCAUCCAGACUGACAAUGUUUUCUCGGCCCCCCACUUCAGCAACCCUCUGUGCUUCUGUGUGUAAACACUGGGAAGCAUUGGAUCCUGAACACAGCGAAACUGUAAAAUUGACUUUGCCACCUUCGUAAUGGAGCUGUUGGCAUGUGAUGCUUGUGCCACCACACAACACGAGCCAGUUUGAGCAUGCUUUUUUAAUGAUUGGGGUUAUGGCAUCUGCGUUAUGCUUCCUGUGUGUUGCUAUCACCAGGCGAUAGCUGUUUAGCUUUGGCCCUAUAUGCAUAAUUAUAUUCAGUGUGUAACUAAUUUUGAUUUAAUCAAAAAAUCAUGCUGAUUUUGCUAUCAAAUAUGACUGUUUAGAUGCAUCCAAUCAAAUAAUAUGAUAGUGUUAUCUAACAGACUUAACAGUUAACUUAGCUGUGUAUUUGGAUCAAAUUUAAAAAAGCCGUUUUCUUUGAAAUUUCUCCUUCAAAAUGGCUCUUCAUAAAAUUAAUUGUGUUUCAUUUUAAAAAUUGAGUGACGUUCAUUGAUGUCAGAGGCAGAGUUACAGUAUCACACUUACAGGGCCCUUGUGAGCUUUUGGAGCCCCUGUGGGAAAGUUUUGGCUUU
Molecule: long non-coding RNA, 1867 nt
Organism: Cyprinus carpio carpio
Lineage: Eukaryota; Metazoa; Chordata; Actinopteri; Cypriniformes; Cyprinidae
Source: Ensembl